UACGGAGGUUGCAAGCGUUAUCCGGAUUUAUUGGGUUUAAAGGGUGCGUAGGCGGGUUUGUAAGUCAGCGGUGAAAGACUGUCGCUUAACGAUAGCAUUGCCAUUGAUACUGCAGAUCUUGAGUACAUUUGAGGUGGGCGGAAUGAGUAGUGUAGCGGUGAAAUGCUUAGAUAUUACUCAGAACACCAAUUGCGAAGGCAGCUCACUAAACUGUAACUGACGCUGAGGCACGAAAGCGUGGGGAUCAAACAGG
Molecule: ribosomal RNA, 253 nt
Filed under: uncultured bacterium
Lineage: Bacteria
Description: partial 16S ribosomal RNA
Rfam family: Bacterial small subunit ribosomal RNA
Source: RNAcentral